UGGCCGAAGCCAUUGAUGCUGCAA
RNAcentral lists this non-coding RNA (24 nucleotides) under Arabidopsis thaliana (thale cress). The record is from RNAcentral. Lineage: Eukaryota; Viridiplantae; Streptophyta; Magnoliopsida; Brassicales; Brassicaceae.